CUCUCUCGGGGCUGGUGGCCUGCGUGGGCGGCCGGGUGGUCGGCAGAGCCGUCGGGGCCCCCCCGGCUCAGAAAGAGGCCGAAAUGGCUGCGAAGCAGACCCCGGGCAGGAGUCGCUCGGGCGCAGGGAGGAAGUGAACCGGCCGGAGGUAGCGCCCGGCUGCUGGCCCCACAGUCCCGACACCUUCGGAACUCCUAACUCCUGUACUUGUCCGGCUGAAAGGUCACCUGCCCCAGUCCCCAGCUGUGCCGCUUGCUGGGCACGGAGCCUCUGGUAACUGCCCCCUGAUACACACAGUGCCCGGGGAUAGAACCCGUGUGCGUGGACCUGGGUGACUGGGAGGCCACCGAGCGGGCGCUGGGCAGCGUGGGCCCCGUGGACCUGCUGGUGAACAACGCCGCUGUCGCCCUGCUGCAGCCCUUCCUGGAGGUCACCAAGGAGGCCUUUGACAGAUCCUUUGAGGUGAACCUGCGUGCGGUCAUCCAGGUGUCACAGGUGAGCUGCCCUGUGGGCUGGACGGGAAUUCUCGUGAGUGAUGCCAGCUCUGCCUCACGGUCUCGCUGCAAUUCCAGAUUGUGGCCAGGGGCUUAAUAGCCCGGGGAGUCCCAGGGGCCAUCGUGAAUGUCUCCAGCCAGGGCUCCCAGCGGGCAGUAACUAACCAUAGCGUCUACUGUGAGUGCCCCAGCUGCGCCCUC
Molecule: small RNA, 695 nt
Filed under: Pan troglodytes (chimpanzee)
Lineage: Eukaryota; Metazoa; Chordata; Mammalia; Primates; Hominidae
Description: retained intron
Source: RNAcentral